Long non-coding RNA from Bos taurus (domestic cattle), 722 nucleotides. NCBI's taxonomy places the organism in Eukaryota, Metazoa, Chordata, Mammalia, Artiodactyla, Bovidae. The record is from Ensembl.
CUCGGGAGGAGGACCCCGAGGCGGAGGACACGAGGAGGGGCGCCGUGCGAGGCAAGGGCGGUGCGGGCCGCGCAUCAGGGGCAGAUGCUGCGUCCAGGCUCCGGCGACAGGGCGGUCGUUUCCCCGCCGGCCAAGGUCGUGUCGGGCCUCACUCCAGACCCCCCCAGAGAGCACCCAGGGCCGGGUCGGGCCCCCCCUUUAAGAGCUCCUCGGAAGCUUCGAGAGGCGCAGCUUGCGGCCGUCGGCGAGGCGGGGAGUCCUGCUUGCCCCGCAGCCCUGACUCUUCCGAGCUGCUGCUGCUGCUAAGUCGCUUCAGUCGUGUCCGACUCUGUGCGACCCCAUAGAGGGCCUCCCACCGUGCUCCCCAGUCCCUGGGAUUCUCCAGGCAAGAACACUGGAGUGGGUUGCCAUUUCCUUCUCCAAUGCAUGAAAGUGAAAAGUAAAAGUGAAAUCUCUCAGUCGUGUCCGACUCUUCGCGACCGCAUGGACUGCAGCCUACCAGGCUCCUCCGCCAAUGGGAUUUUCCAGGCAAGAGUACUGGAGUGGGGUGCCAUCGCCUUCUCCGCCUCUUCCGAGCAGGCAACGGCCGAGCAAGCUUUCCUGUCCACUGGUGAUCGUCUCCAUGUCCUGUCCAGCAACUGAGUCACACCCUGCUGCUCCAGGAGCACCAUCUCCAAGGAGUCUGGUCCUGUGAUGGGGUCACAUGGGGGUGGUUGUGGAGG